RNAcentral lists this ribosomal RNA (809 nucleotides) under uncultured marine bacterium. Its description in RNAcentral is "bacterial SSU rRNA". It matches the Rfam family "Bacterial small subunit ribosomal RNA", at positions 69 to 917 of the family's 1533-position model. The record is from RNAcentral.
AAGGCCCUAGCUUGCUAGGUGUCCUUAGUGGCGCACGGGUGAGUAACACGUGGGAACAUACCUUAUAGUACGGAAUAACUGCGGGAAACUGUAGCUAAUACCGUAUACUCCAGUAAUGGGAAAGAUUUAUCGCUAUAAGAUUGGCCCGCGCAAGAUUAGCUUGUUGGUGAGGUAAAAGCUCACCAAGGCUUCGAUCUUUAGCUGGUUUGAGAGGAUGAUCAGCCACACUGGGACUGAGACACGGCCCAGACUCCUACGGGAGGCAGCAGUAGGGAAUAUUGGACAAUGGGGGCAACCCUGAUCCAGCAAUGCAGCGUGAGUGACGAAGGCCUUAGGGCUGUAAAACUCUUUCAUCGGUGAGGAUAAUGACAGUAGCCGAAGAAGAAGGACCGGCUAAUUCCGUGCCAGCAGCCGCGGUAAUACGGAAGGUCCUAGCGUUGUUCGGAAUUACUGGGCGUAAAGCGCAUGUAGGCGGAACAGAAAGUUAGAAGUGAAAUCCCUGGGCUCAACCUAGGAAUUGCUUUUAAAACUUCUGUUCUGGAAUUCAGGAGAGGAAAAUGGAAUUUCCAGUGUAGAGGUGAAAUUCGUAGAUAUUGGAAGGAACACCAGUGGCGAAGGCGAUUUUCUGGACUGAUAUUGACGCUGAGAUGCGAAGGCAUGGGUAGCAAACGGGAUUAGAUACCCCGGUAGUCCAUGCAGUAAACGAUGGGUGCUAGUCGUCGGACUUUUGUUCGGUGUCGUAGCUAACGCGUUAAGCACCCCGCCUGGGGAGUACGGUCGCAAGAUUAAAACUCAAAUAAAUUGACGGG